RNAcentral lists this ribosomal RNA (203 nucleotides) under uncultured bacterium. RNAcentral describes it as "partial 16S ribosomal RNA". It matches the Rfam family "Bacterial small subunit ribosomal RNA", at positions 524 to 730 of the family's 1533-position model. The record is from RNAcentral.
GACAUAGGUGGCGAACGUUAUCCGGAAUUACUGGGCGUAAAGUGUGCGUAGGUGGUUUAAUUAGUUAUCGGUGGGAAAUUGGGCUCAACCCCACGGAAGUCGAUAAUACUAUAACUAGAGGAUCGGAGGGUUAACGGAAUUCACAUGUGGAGCGGUAAAUGCUUGAUAUAUGGAAGAACACCAAUUGGCGAAGGCAGUUAACU